GACGAACGCUGGCGGCGUGCCUAAUACAUGCAAGUAGAACGCUGAAGGAGGAGCUUGCUUCUCUGGAUGAGUUGCGAACGGGUGAGUAACGCGUAGGUAACCUGCCUGGUAGCAGGGGAUAACUAUUGGAAACGAUAGCUAAUACCGCAUAAUAGCAGUUGUUGCAUGACAACUGUUUGAAAGGUGCAAAUGCAUCACUACCAGAUGGACCUGCGUUGUAUUAGCUAGUUGGUGGGGUAAAGGCUCACCAAGGCGACGAUACAUAGCCGACCUGAGAGGGUGAUCGGCCACACUGGGACUGAGACACGGCCCAGACUCCUACGGGAGGCAGCAGUAGGGAAUCUUCGGCAAUGGACGGAAGUCUGACCGAGCAACGCCGCGUGAGUGAAGAAGGUUUUCGGAUCGUAAAGCUCUGUUGUAAGAGAAGAACGAGUGUGAGAGUGGAAAGUUCACACUGUGACGGUAUCUUACCAGAAAGGGACGGCUAACUACGUG
Molecule: ribosomal RNA, 495 nt
Filed under: uncultured bacterium
Lineage: Bacteria
Description: partial 16S ribosomal RNA
Rfam family: Bacterial small subunit ribosomal RNA
Source: RNAcentral